RNAcentral lists this ribosomal RNA (468 nucleotides) under uncultured bacterium. RNAcentral describes it as "partial 16S ribosomal RNA". It matches the Rfam family "Bacterial small subunit ribosomal RNA", at positions 28 to 507 of the family's 1533-position model. The record is from RNAcentral.
GAUGAACGCUGGCGGCGUGCUUAACACAUGCAAGUCGAACGGAAAGGCCGAAGCUUGCUUCGGUACUCGAGUGGCGAACGGGUGAGUAACACGUGGGUGAUCUGCCCUGUACUUCGGGAUAAGCUUGGGAAAUUGGGUCUAAUACCGGAUAUGACGAUCUCUUGGAUGGGGUUGUGGAAAGCUUUUGCGGUAUGGGAUGAGCUCGCGGCCUAUCAGCUUGUUGGUGGGGUAAUGGCCUACCAAGGCGUCGACGGGUAGCCGGCCUGAGAGGGUGUACGGCCACAUUGGGACUGAGAUACGGCCCAGACUCCUACGGGAGGCAGCAGUGGGGAAUAUUGCACAAUGGGCGCAAGCCUGAUGCAGCGACGCCGCGUGGGGGAUGACGGCCUUCGGGUUGUAAACUCCUUUCGCAAUCGACGAAGCCUUUUGGUGACGGUAGGUUGAGAAGAAGCACCGGCUAACUACGUG